Non-coding RNA from Paramormyrops kingsleyae, 788 nucleotides. The record is from RefSeq and is a predicted model, not a curated record. NCBI's taxonomy places the organism in Eukaryota, Metazoa, Chordata, Actinopteri, Osteoglossiformes, Mormyridae.
GUUAGUAACUUCUCAAGAGCUUCUCAUCUUUCUUGAAUUUUUAAAGCCUGAAUAACAUUUUUUUCUUCUUUGAUCUUUAUCUAAUUAAUUUUUCCAGCCUGAGGUUUUUAUCUCGUCCCUGAAGAUGUCACGUAAGCAAUGCCCAGAAGCAAAUGGUGUUUUAGGAAUGAUCGAUACCUACGACAGACCAGCAGAUUACUACGCUGAUGGAGCGUAUACUGGCACCGAAGAAUACGCAUGUGGAUUUGAAAACAAACCAGGGAAGCGUAUUCCUAAAGCCGGAUACAUAGCUCAUGCUGGUGUAGGACGAGUUGGAGCUGAGUGGAGCAUCUUUUCAGUUGGGGCUAAAGGCCCACACGUGUCUGUACAGGCCGAAGCUAACGGGCGGCUGGAAGCAGGAGCCAUGGCUCGAGCUGGGAUUGGCAGUGCAUCAGUUGCAGUUGGUCCAGCUCAUAUAAAGGUGGGCCUGGGGAUUGAUACUGGGAUUAAAAUUAGUCCCACUAAAAUAAAGGUAAAGGUGCUUGGGACUGGGGUGACUUUUGGAAGCACAAUGGGAAUUUCUUUUUUUGGAAGUGAAUUUAAAAUAAAACUUUUGUGAACAUAUUAAAAUAAAAAUCACUGUUCAUCUCCUCUUCACAUACUGUACGCAUCUCUUCCUCUUCACAUACGCACAGUCACUUUACUUACCGAGUUUAAAUCUCUUCUCAAAACCCACUUAUUCACACUGGCUUUUCAUACAUAACUCAAUCUAUUAGUUACUUAUUUGUAUUUUAUAUUUAUUUUCCACU